This 741-nucleotide small RNA is filed under the name Pongo abelii (Sumatran orangutan). Its description in RNAcentral is "processed transcript". Lineage: Eukaryota; Metazoa; Chordata; Mammalia; Primates; Hominidae. The record is from RNAcentral.
GCAUGUGUGUCUGCUGAAGGUGUGACUGUUGAGGAGCCUGCAUCAGAGAGGCUAAAGCCUGAGACCCAAGAGACCAGGCCCAGGGAGAAGCCCCCCUUACCUGCUACCAAGGCUGUUCCGACACCAAGGCAGAGCACUGUCCCCAAGCUGCCUGCUGUCCACCCAGCCCGUCUAAGGAAGCUGUCUUUCCUGCCUACCCCACGUACUCAGGGUUCUGAAGAUGUGGUACAGGCUUUCAUCAGUGAGAUUGGAAUUGAGGCAUCGGACCUGUCCAGUCUGCUGGAGCAGUUUGAGAAAUCAGAAGCCAAAAAGGAGUGUCCUCCUCCGGCUCCUGCUGACAGCUUGGCUGUAGGAAACUCAGGGUCCAGCUGUAGUUCCUCUGGACGUUCUCGAAGAUGCUCUUCCUCCUCUUCGUCAUCAUCUUCCUCUUCGUCUUCCUCAUCCUCAUCCAGUUCUCGAAGCCGCUCCCGCUCCCCAUCCCCCCGCCGGAGAAGUGACAGGAGGCGGCGGUACAGCUCUUAUCGUUCACAUGACCAUUACCAAAGGCAAAGAGUGCUGCAAAAGGAGCGUGCAAUAGAAGAAAGAAGGGUGGUCUUCAUUGGAAAGAUACCUGGCCGUAUGACUCGAUCAGAGCUGAAACAGAGGUUCUCCGUUUUUGGAGAGAUUGAGGAGUGCACCAUCCACUUCCGUGUCCAAGGGGACAACUACGGCUUCGUCACUUAUCGCUAUGCUGAGGAGGCA